RNAcentral lists this ribosomal RNA (460 nucleotides) under uncultured bacterium. RNAcentral describes it as "partial 16S ribosomal RNA". It matches the Rfam family "Bacterial small subunit ribosomal RNA", at positions 338 to 795 of the family's 1533-position model. The record is from RNAcentral.
CCUACGGGGGGCAGCAGUGAGGAAUAUUGGACAAUGGACGCAAGUCUGAACCAGCCAUGCCGCGUGCAGGAAGACGGCUCUAUGAGUUGUAAACUGCUUUUGUACGAGGGUAAACGCAGAUACGCGUAUCUGUCUGAAAGUAUCGUACGAAUAAGGAUCGGCUAACUCCGUGCCAGCAGCCGCGGUAAUACGGAGGAUUCAAGCGUUAUCCGGAUUUAUUGGGUUUAAAGGGUGCGUAGGCGGUCGGAUAAGUUAGAGGUGAAAUCCCGAGGCUCAACUUCGGAAUUGCCUCUGAUACUGUUAGGCUAGAGAGUAGUAGCGGUAGGCGGAAUGUAUGGUGUAGCGGUGAAAUGCUUAGAGAUCAGACAGAACACCGAUUGCGAAGGCAGCUUACCAAGCUACUUCUGACGUUGAGGCACGAAAGCGUGGGGAGCAAACAGGAUUAGAUACCCUAGUAGUC